UCUGUUUCUCUUCUUGGUAUCUUGGUGCCACUGCUCUACUGCCAGGAUGAUUUCCUGCAUAUGGAAAACUCAUCUUAGAUAAAGGAGCAUUGAAAUCAUCAGAUGAAAAGAUUCUCUCAUCAGACUGGAUGCCCAGCACAGUCUCCACUAUAGAAAACCCACGAGGAGAGUGGCCUGGAUAUGAUGUGAUAUUGGCUAAGUCGAAACAUUGUCACACACAUGCACUUAGGAGGCAGCCAACAAGCCCAGAGGUUGAGAACACCUACUUUGCAUACACAGUCUGAGUAAGGAAACAAACCAGCAUCCCAGAUGAUUUUCAGAACUUUAUAAAUCUCCAUAUAGAGAAUUGUGGACCUUUGAAAGAGGGCAAGUCCAAGAAGAAGAGUGCACCUGGUCACCCCCAAUAUAAAUCCAUCUUUGGAACCAGUGGCUAGCAGAAAUAUGCAAGAAGCAGAUAAAGUGGCACAUCAGAUCCACACAGUAAACAACGCCUUCUUGGAGAAACUUUGUUUUAUCAAAUGAAGAACAUAAGAGCACACAGCAGAAUUGAGUUUUGAAUUUUAUUUUGUUUCUUUGUCUUUGUAAUUUAUGAUCUCAUCAUUCUUCAGCAGUACUCAGUGAUUAAUGGCGGACUGAAUAAACACUUCGGCAGUGACUUUAAGGCUAGCAGAAACUGGAAUCUGAGGUCAGGCAGAGAGGAAGCAUCCUGCUGUCUGGGAAACUCCAAAAGCAAAUUAAAAACUCAGGGAAGAACACAGAGCUUUGAUCCUGAUCACAAAAUCAUCAACAACAUAAAUGUGAAAUUUUUACUGCAUAGAAACCAUAUCAGGCCCGUGAGCCACAUCAGUAAGAAACAGACAGUGCCAAGCACUGUGUACCCUCUGCACCUUGGGAGAAAAGGUGAUGAACCUGGUUUCUAGGCGGGAUGGAUAUUUAUGGUAAUGGUGGGCAUAUAAACACAAUCCCAUAUUAAGAAGCAGCGUCUUUAACUGCAAUGUCAGUUGGCAGCACUGGCAUAAUUCCUCUGGGGGUUUCUUUGUGGUGGCUGAGAAUAUGACUAAUGACAAACAGCUAAACUGUUAUUACACUUCUCUAAUAAGUUGGUGUUAUACUAAAACCAUGCCGUAGUCCCUGGAUCAAAUUCUGCUACAUAUUUGAUCUUUUUGCCCUUAUAGUAGUUAGAUUUUCUUUCUGUUUACUUUCGAAUAUCUGUCAAUGAAUAUUGCUUUUGGUUAAUAGAUUUUUCUUGUAACUAUUGUCUUUGUUUUUUGAAAACUGAGCAGAGGGAGACAAAAUCUCCUGAAACUGCAGCCGUGGAACUGCCCCAUCCCUAUCUAAUAAAGUACUCCACCAAAAAAUGAUCCUCAGAUUUUUGUAAAUCUGAGAAUUCCUGUAUGGAUAUUUUUUCAAUCUAUACAUCAGUGUAGGGGUUUUGAGGCCCAAGGAUUUUAAAAAUGUAAUGCUAGUUUGAGGAUUUAAACCGUAAAAUAUUUUUAGCUUUAUGCCACCAUGCAAUCUUUGUUUUCCUAUGGGCACCUCUAUUUCAAAAUAAUAGUAUUUCCAUAGUAACCUUACCCAGAAUUACAUAGAAUGCAUGGUGCUUGUGAUGUCAGCAGAGCGACUGCAAAAAAAAUUGGCUUGGGCAAUUACAGGGUAUCUGAGUUUCCAGGUAGACUCUAGCACUUGUGCUUUCUAAACACCGUUUGUUUUGGGACUUCCUAGCUUAAGAAUUCUUGCUUUCUGAUUCAUAAUUUCUGAUCACAAUUUAAAAAUUGUAUAAAACUCAGUCUGACUUACGGUUGUGGCUCGUUUUUGAUUAUGUGUAUCUCUCAGUCAUUUUCAUCUAUCUUAAUGUCUUCUUCUAGUAAGCAGAAAAAUAUUGUUAAAUAAAUUACCUCUGGAAAAUCCUCUCAUGAAUGGCUGGGGUGCAAUCAAGAAUGUGCUUCUGAGUCAGAUACUGCUUCCCUCCUUAUUCAUUGGUCAGAAGUCCUGCCCAAUAGUAGCGCAUU
Long non-coding RNA from Polypterus senegalus (gray bichir), 2009 nucleotides. RefSeq lists it as uncharacterized. The transcript has 4 exons. The record is from RefSeq and is a predicted model, not a curated record. NCBI's taxonomy places the organism in Eukaryota, Metazoa, Chordata, Cladistia, Polypteriformes, Polypteridae.